RNAcentral lists this ribosomal RNA (520 nucleotides) under uncultured bacterium. Its description in RNAcentral is "bacterial SSU rRNA". It matches the Rfam family "Bacterial small subunit ribosomal RNA", at positions 355 to 874 of the family's 1533-position model. The record is from RNAcentral.
UGAGGAAUAUUGGUCAAUGGUCGGAAGACUGAACCAGCCAAGUCGCGUGAAGGAAGAAGGUACUAAGUAUUGUAAACUUCUUUUGUUCGGGGGUAAAAUACGGGAUGUAUCCUGUAUUGCAAGUACCGGACGAAUAAGCAUCGGCUAACUCCGUGCCAGCAGCCGCGGUAAUACGGAGGAUGCGAGCGUUAUCCGGAUUUAUUGGGUUUAAAGGGUGCGUAGGUUGUUUAGUAAGUCAGCGGUGAAAUCUUCCUGCUUAACAGGGACAUUGCCGUUGAAACUGCGGGACUUGAGAUUGGACGAGGUGUGCGGAAUUCGUAGUGUAGCGGUGAAAUGCAUAGAUAUUACGAAGAACCCCGAUAGCGUAGGCAGCAUACCAGGUCAAUUCUGACACUGAAGCACGAAAGUGUGGGAAUCAAACAGGAUUAGAUACCCUGGUAGUCCACACAGUAAACGAUGAAUACUGACUGUUUGCGAUACACAGUAAGCGGUUAAGCGAAAGCGUUAAGUAUUCCUACCU